CGGCAAGAGCUCAAAUUUGAAAUCUGGCGCAAGCCCGAGUUGUAAUUUGGAGAGGAUGCCUCGGGGCAGCGGCCGGUCUAAGUUCCUUGGAACAGGACGUCACAGAGGGUGAGAAUCCCGUACGUGCCCGGUGGCCGCCCCCGUGUGAAGCUCCUUCGAC
RNAcentral lists this ribosomal RNA (160 nucleotides) under Sporidesmium sp. RNAcentral describes it as "partial large subunit ribosomal RNA". It matches the Rfam family "Eukaryotic large subunit ribosomal RNA", at positions 99 to 261 of the family's 3401-position model. Lineage: Eukaryota; Fungi; Ascomycota; Sordariomycetes; Sporidesmiaceae. The record is from RNAcentral.